RNAcentral lists this ribosomal RNA (253 nucleotides) under uncultured bacterium. RNAcentral's name for it is "partial 16S ribosomal RNA". It matches the Rfam family "Bacterial small subunit ribosomal RNA", at positions 524 to 776 of the family's 1533-position model. The record is from RNAcentral.
UACGAGGGGGGCAAGCGUUGUUCGGAAUUAUUGGGCGUAAAGGGCGCGUAGGCGGUUUGACAAGUCUGAUGUGAAAUCUAUGGGCUCAACCCAUAGCCUGCAUUAGAAACUGUCGGGCUUGAGUAUGGGAGAGGUGAGUGGAAUUUCCGGUGUAGCGGCGAAAUGCGUAGAUAUCGGAAGGAACACCUGUGGCGAAAGCGGCUCACUGGACCAUAACUGACGCUGAGGCGCGAAAGCUAGGGGAGCAAACAGG